This 57-nucleotide transfer RNA is filed under the name Bos taurus (domestic cattle). It matches the Rfam family "tRNA", at positions 8 to 63 of the family's 71-position model. Rfam says of the family: Transfer RNA (tRNA) molecules are approximately 80 nucleotides in length. Their secondary structure includes four short double-helical elements and three loops (D, anti-codon, and T loops). The record is from Rfam by way of RNAcentral. Lineage: Eukaryota; Metazoa; Chordata; Mammalia; Artiodactyla; Bovidae. RNAcentral also lists the same sequence under 5 other names.
UGGCUCAGUAGGUAAAGAAUCUGCCUGCAAUGCAGGAGAUGCAGGUUCAAUCCCUGU